This 89-nucleotide non-coding RNA is filed under the name bovine gut metagenome. RNAcentral's name for it is "TPP riboswitch (THI element)". The stretch from base 4 to 81 matches the Rfam family "TPP riboswitch aptamer (THI element)", at positions 11 to 88 of the family's 105-position model. Rfam says of the family: Vitamin B(1) in its active form thiamin pyrophosphate (TPP) is an essential coenzyme that is synthesised by coupling of pyrimidine and thiazole moieties in bacteria. The previously detected thiamin-regulatory element, thi box was extended, resulting in a new, highly conserved RNA secondary structure, the THI element, which is widely distributed in eubacteria and also occurs in some archaea. The record is from RNAcentral.
ACACGGGGUGCUGCGCGCCAAGGGGGAGCGCGGCUGAGAUCAGACCCGCAGAACCUGAUCCGGGUAAUGCCGGCGCAGGGAGCCGAAUU